AUAAUGGGUCAGCGACUUAUAUUCUGUAGCAAGGUUAACCGAAUAGGGGAGCCGAAGGGAAACCGAGUCUUAACUGGGCGUUAAGUUGCAGGGUAUAGACCCGAAACCCGGUGAUCUAGCCAUGGGCAGGUUGAAGGUUGGGUAACACUAACUGGAGGACCGAACCGACUAAUGUUGAAAAAUUAGCGGAUGACUUGUGGCUGGGGGUGAAAGGCCAAUCAAACCGGGAGAUAGCUGGUUCUCCCCGAAAGCUAUUUAGGUAGCGCCUCGUGAAUUCAUCUCCGGGGGUAGAGCACUGUUUCGGCAAGGGGGUCAUCCCGACUUACCAACCCGAUGCAAACUGCGAAUACCGGAGAAUGUUAUCACGGGAGACACACGGCGGGUGCUAACGUCCGUCGUGAAGAGGGAAACAACCCAGACCGCCAGCUAAGGUCCCAAAGUCAUGGUUAAGUGGGAAACGAUGUGGGAAGGCCCAGACAGCCAGGAUGUUGGCUUAGAAGCAGCCAUCAUUUAAAGAAAGCGUAAUAGCUCACUGGUCGAGUCGGCCUGCGCGGAAGAUGUAACGGGGCUAAACCAUGCACCGAAGCUGCGGCAGCGACGCUGAUGCGUUGUUGGGUAGGGGAGCGUUCUGUAAGCCUGCGAAGGUGUGCUGUGAGGCAUGCUGGAGGUAUCAGAAGUGCGAAUGCUGACAUAAGUAACGAUAAAGCGGGUGAAAAGCCCGCUCGCCGGAAGACCAAGGGUUCCUGUCCAACGUUAAUCGGGGCAGGGUGAGUCGACCCCUAAGGCGAGGCCGAAAGGCGUAGUCGAUGGGAAACAGGUUAAUAUUCCUGUACUUGGUGUUACUGCGAAGGGGGGACGGAGAAGGCUAUGUUGGCCGGGCGACGGUUGUCCCGGUUUAAGCGUGUAGGCUGGUUUUCCAGGCAAAUCCGGAAAAUCAAGGCUGAGGCGUGAUGACGAGGCACUGCGGUGCUGAAGCAACAAAUGCCCUGCUUCCAGGAAAAGCCUCUAAGCAUCAGGUAACAUCAAAUCGUACCCCAAACCGACACAGGUGGUCAGGUAGAGAAUACCAAGGCGCUUGAGAGAACUCGGGUGAAGGAACUAGGCAAAAUGGUGCCGUAACUUCGGGAGAAGGCACGCUGAUAUGUAGGUGAAGUCCCUCGCGGAUGGAGCUGAAAUCAGUCGAAGAUACCAGCUGGCUGCAACUGUUUAUUAAAAACACAGCACUGUGCAAACACGAAAGUGGACGUAUACGGUGUGACGCCUGCCCGGUGCCGGAAGGUUAAUUGAUGGGGUCAGCGCAAGCGAAGCUCUUGAUCGAAGCCCCGGUAAACGGCGGCCGUAACUAUAACGGUCCUAAGGUAGCGAAAUUCCUUGUCGGGUAAGUUCCGACCUGCACGAAUGGCGUAAUGAUGGCCAGGCUGUCUCCACCCGAGACUCAGUGAAAUUGAACUCGCUGUGAAGAUGCAGUGUACCCGCGGCAAGACGGAAAGACCCCGUGAACCUUUACUAUAGCUUGACACUGAACAUUGAGCCUUGAUGUGUAGGAUAGGUGGGAGGCUUUGAAGUGUGGACGCCAGUCUGCAUGGAGCCGACCUUGAAAUACCACCCUUUAAUGUUUGAUGUUCUAACGUUGACCCGUAAUCCGGGUUGCGGACAGUGUCUGGUGGGUAGUUUGACUGGGGCGGUCUCCUCCUAAAGAGUAACGGAGGAGCACGAAGGUUGGCUAAUCCUGGUCGGACAUCAGGAGGUUAGUGCAAUGGCAUAAGCCAGCUUGACUGCGAGCGUGACGGCGCGAGCAGGUGCGAAAGCAGGUCAUAGUGAUCCGGUGGUUCUGAAUGGAAGGGCCAUCGCUCAACGGAUAAAAGGUACUCCGGGGAUAACAGGCUGAUACCGCCCAAGAGUUCAUAUCGACGGCGGUGUUUGGCACCUCGAUGUCGGCUCAUCACAUCCUGGGGCUGAAGUAGGUCCCAAGGGUAUGGCUGUUCGCCAUUUAAAGUGGUACGCGAGCUGGGUUUAGAACGUCGUGAGACAGUUCGGUCCCUAUCUGCCGUGGGCGCUGGAGAACUGAGGGGGGCUGCUCCUAGUACGAGAGGACCGGAGUGGACGCAUCACUGGUGUUCGGGUUGUCAUGCCAAUGGCACUGCCCGGUAGCUAAAUGCGGAAGAGAUAAGUGCUGAAAGCAUCUAAGCACGAAACUUGCC
This 2201-nucleotide ribosomal RNA is filed under the name Escherichia coli. Its description in RNAcentral is "partial 23S ribosomal RNA". It matches the Rfam family "Bacterial large subunit ribosomal RNA", at positions 612 to 2798 of the family's 2925-position model. The record is from RNAcentral. Lineage: Bacteria; Pseudomonadati; Pseudomonadota; Gammaproteobacteria; Enterobacterales; Enterobacteriaceae.